Molecule: ribosomal RNA, 1234 nt
Filed under: metagenome
Description: bacterial SSU rRNA
Rfam family: Bacterial small subunit ribosomal RNA
Source: RNAcentral
UGAGAUGGAUUCCGGGUGUGAGAGCAUGGCCCGGCUCACUGGGACUGAGACACUGCCCAGACACCUACGGGUGGCUGCAGUCGAGAAUCUUCGGCAAUGGACGAAAGUCUGACCGAGCGACGCCGCGUGCGGGAUGAAGGCCUUCGGGUUGUAAACCGCUGUCAGUUGGGAGGAAAUGUAGAGGGGUUAUCCCCUUUAUUUGACCGAUCUUCAGAGGAAGGACGGGCUAAGUUCGUGCCAGCAGCCGCGGUAAGACGAACCGUCCGAACGUUAUUCGGUAUCACUGGGCUUAAAGCGUUCGUAGGCGGCCUAGUAGGUGAGGUGUGAAAGCCCUCGGCUCAACCGAGGAACAGCGCUUCAAACCACUAGGCUUGAGGAUGGCAGGGGUAAUGGGAACUGAUGGUGGAGCGGUGAAAUGCUUUGAUAUCAUCAGGAACACCGGUGGCGAAAGCGCAUUACUGGCCAUUUCUGACGCUGAGGAACGAAAGCUAGGGUAGCGAACGGGAUUAGAUACCCCGGUAGUCCUAGCCGUAAACGAUGAGCACUGGGUUGAGGGGACUUCCACAUCUUCUCGGCCGUAGCGAAAGCGUUAAGUGCUCCGCCUGGGGAGUAUGGCCGCAAGGCUGAAACUCAAAGGAAUUGACGGGGGCUCACACAAGCGGUGGAGGAUGUGGCUUAAUUCAAGGCUACGCGAAGAACCUUAUCCUAGACUUGACAUGCUUAGGAAUCCCCUGGAAACAGGGGAGUGCCCGCAAGGGAGCCUUUGCACAGGUGCUGCAUGGCUGUCGUCAGCUCGUGUCGUGAGAUGUCGGGUUAAGUCCCUUAACGAGCGAAACCCUUAUCUCUAGUUGCCAGCGGGUAAUGCCGGGGACUCUAGAGAGACUGCCGGUGUCAAACCGGAGGAAGGUGGGGAUGACGUCAAGUCCUCAUGGCCUUUAUGUUUAGGGCUGCGCACGUCCUACAAUGGCACGUACAAAGGGAAGCAAUACCGCGAGGUGGAGCUAAUCCCACAAAGCGUGCCUCAGUUCGGAUUGCAGGCUGCAACUCGCCUGCAUGAAGCUGGAAUCGCUAGUAAUCGUAGGUCAGCAUACUACGGUGUAUGUGUUCCUGAGCCUUGUACACACCGCCCGUCAAGCCACGAAAGUUGGGAGGGCCCGUAGUCACUGAGCUAACCCGCAAGGGAGGCAGGUGCCGAAGGUCAGCUCGACAAUUGGGACUAAGUCGUAACAAGGUA